ACGAACGCUGGCGGCGUGCCUAAUACAUGCAAGUAGAACGCUGAGGAUUGGUGCUUGCACUAAUCCAAAGAGUUGCGAACGGGUGAGUAACGCGUAGGUAACCUACCUCAUAGCGGGGGAUAACUAUUGGAAACGAUAGCUAAUACCGCAUGACACUAGAGUACACAUGUACUUAAUUUAAAAGGAGCAAUUGCUUCACUAUGAGAUGGACCUGCGUUGUAUUAGCUAGUUGGUGAGGUAACGGCUCACCAAGGCGACGAUACAUAGCCGACCUGAGAGGGUGAUCGGCCACACUGGGACUGAGACACGGCCCAGACUCCUACGGGAGGCAGCAGUAGGGAAUCUUCGGCAAUGGACGGAAGUCUGACCGAGCAACGCCGCGUGAGUGAAGAAGGUUUUCGGAUCGUAAAGCUCUGUUGUUAGAGAAGAACGGUAAUGGGAGUGGAAAAUCCAUUACGUGACGGUAACUAACCAGAAAGGGACGGCUAACUACGUGC
This 497-nucleotide ribosomal RNA is filed under the name Streptococcus iniae. RNAcentral's name for it is "bacterial SSU rRNA". It matches the Rfam family "Bacterial small subunit ribosomal RNA", at positions 29 to 508 of the family's 1533-position model. Lineage: Bacteria; Bacillati; Bacillota; Bacilli; Lactobacillales; Streptococcaceae. The record is from RNAcentral.